GAUGAAGAACGCAGCGAAAUGCGAUAAGUAAUGUGAAUUGCAGAAUUCAGUGAAUCAUCGAGUCUUUGAACGCACAUUGCGCCCCCUGGUAUUCCGGGGGGCAUGCCUGUCCGAGCGUCAUUGCUGCCCUCAAGCACGGCUUGUGUGUUGGGCCCCCGUCCCCGGUUCUCCCCGGGGACGGGCCCGAAAGGCAGCGGCGGCACCGCGUCCGAUCCUCGAGCGUAUGGGGCUUUGUCACCCGCUCUGUAGGCCCGGCCGGCGCCAGCCGACACCCCAACUUUAUUUUCUAAGGUUGACCUCGGAUCAGGUAGGGAUACCCGCUGAACUUAAGCAUAUCAAUAAGCGAGGA
This 349-nucleotide unclassified non-coding RNA is filed under the name soil metagenome. RNAcentral describes it as "partial contains 5.8S ribosomal RNA, internal transcribed spacer 2, and large subunit ribosomal RNA". The stretch from base 1 to 120 matches the Rfam family "5.8S ribosomal RNA", at positions 35 to 154 of the family's 154-position model. The record is from RNAcentral.